GCUAUGGCUAGCUCAGUCGGUGCAGCAGGAAACUCUUAAUCUCAGGGUUGUGGAUUCAAGCUCCAUAUUGGGCA
This is a non-coding RNA of Podarcis lilfordi (Lilford's wall lizard), 74 nucleotides long. Lineage: Eukaryota; Metazoa; Chordata; Lepidosauria; Squamata; Lacertidae. The record is from the annotation of a GenBank genome assembly.